This 863-nucleotide ribosomal RNA is filed under the name uncultured bacterium. RNAcentral's name for it is "bacterial SSU rRNA". It matches the Rfam family "Bacterial small subunit ribosomal RNA", at positions 56 to 914 of the family's 1533-position model. The record is from RNAcentral.
UGCAAGUCGAGCGGAUGAGAGGAGCUUGCUCCUCGAUUCAGCGGCGGACGGGUGAGUAAUGCCUAGGAAUCUGCCUAGUAGUGGGGGACAACGUUUCGAAAGGAACGCUAAUACCGCAUACGUCCUACGGGAGAAAGUGGGGGAUCUUCGGACCUCACGCUAUUAGAUGAGCCUAGGUCGGAUUAGCUAGUUGGUAGGGUAAAGGCCUACCAAGGCGACGAUCCGUAACUGGUCUGAGAGGAUGAUCAGUCACACUGGAACUGAGACACGGUCCAGACUCCUACGGGAGGCAGCAGUGGGGAAUAUUGGACAAUGGGCGAAAGCCUGAUCCAGCCAUGCCGCGUGUGUGAAGAAGGCCCUCGGGUCGUAAAGCACUUUAAGUUGGGAGGAAGGGCUUACAGCGAAUACCUGUGAGUUUUGACGUUACCGACAGAAUAAGCACCGGCUAACUUCGUGCCAGCAGCCGCGGUAAUACGAAGGGUGCAAGCGUUAAUCGGAAUUACUGGGCGUAAAGCGCGCGUAGGUGGCUUGAUAAGUUGGAUGUGAAAUCCCCGGGCUCAACCUGGGAACUGCAUCCAAAACUGUCUGGCUAGAGUGUGGUAGAGGGUAGUGGAAUUUCCAGUGUAGCGGUGAAAUGCGUAGAUAUUGGAAGGAACACCAGUGGCGAAGGCGACUACCUGGACUAACACUGACACUGAGGUGCGAAAGCGUGGGGAGCAAACAGGAUUAGAUACCCUGGUAGUCCACGCCGUAAACGAUGUCAACUAGCCGUUGGGAUCCUUGAGAUCUUAGUGGCGCAGCUAACGCAUUAAGUUGACCGCCUGGGGAGUACGGCCGCAAGGUUAAAACUCAAAUGAAUUGAC